Molecule: ribosomal RNA, 376 nt
Filed under: uncultured eukaryote
Lineage: Eukaryota
Description: partial 18S ribosomal RNA
Rfam family: Eukaryotic small subunit ribosomal RNA
Source: RNAcentral
CAAUAGCGUAUAUUUAAGUUGUUGCAGUUAAAAAGCUCGUAGUUGGAUUUCGGGCCCAGGUGACCGGUCCGCCGUUUCGGUGUGCACUGGUUAGCUCGGUCUUUCUGUCGGGGACGCGCUCCGUCUUAAUUGCCGGACGCGGAGUCGGCGAUGUUACUUUGAAAAAAUUAGAGUGUUCAAAGCAGGCUUACGCUCUGAAUACUAUAGCAUGGAAUAACACGAUAGGACUCCGAGCCUAUUUUGUUGGUCUUCGGGACCGGAGUAAUGAUUAAGAGGGACAGUUGGGGGCAUUCGUAUUACGGUGUCAGAGGUGAAAUUCUUGGAUUUCCGUAAGACGAACUUCUGCGAAAGCAUUUGCCAAGGAUGUUUUCAUUAA